Molecule: ribosomal RNA, 725 nt
Filed under: Clostridium sp. 19
Lineage: Bacteria; Bacillati; Bacillota; Clostridia; Eubacteriales; Clostridiaceae
Description: bacterial SSU rRNA
Rfam family: Bacterial small subunit ribosomal RNA
Source: RNAcentral
GGGGAAGCGAACAGGAUUAGAUACCNUGGUAGUCCNCCNCGGUAAACGAUAAGUACUAGGUGUCGGGGGUUACCCCCCCUCGGGUGCCGCAAGCUUAACGCAUUAAGUACCUCCGCCUGGAAAGUACGCUCGCAAAGAGUGAAACUCAAAGGAAUUGACGGGGACCCGCACAAGCAGCGGAAGCAUGUGGUUUAAUUCGAAGCAACGCGAAGANCCUUACCUAAGCUUGACAUCCCUUAGACCGCUCCUUAAUCGGAGCUUUCCCUUCGGGGACUGAGGGUGACAGGUGGUGCAUGGUUGUCGUCAGCUCGUGUCGUGAGAUGUUGGGUUAAGUCCCGCAACGAGCGCAACCCUUGUCUUUAGUUGCCAUCAUUAAGUUGGGCACUCUAGAGAGACUGCCGAGGAUAACUCGGAGGAAGGUGGGGAUGACGUCAAAUCAUCAUGCCCCUUAUGUUUAGGGCUACACACGUGCUACAAUGGCUGGUACAGAGGGCUGCGAAACCGUGAGGUUAAGCCAAUCCCUUAAAGCCAGUCUCAGUUCGGAUUGUAGGCUGAAACUCGCCUACAUGAAGCUGGAGUUGCUAGUAAUCGCGGAUCAGAAUGCCGCGGUGAAUGCGUUCCCNCCGUCUUGUACACACCGCCCGUCACACCAUGGGAGUCGGGGGCACCCGAAGCCGGCUUUCUAACCUUUUGGAAGAAGCCGUNNAAGGNAAGUCGAUAAAGGG